RNAcentral lists this ribosomal RNA (117 nucleotides) under bacterium. The record is from RNAcentral.
CCCGGUAGUGAUAGGAGAGGAGAAACACCCGUUCCCAUUUCGAAUACGGAAGUUAAGCUCUCUACCGCCGAUGGUACUAUUCUGGUGACGGAAUGGGAGAGUAGGUAGCUGCCGGGU